UUAUUAGGUCUGGCAAUUGGAAUGAGAACAAUUUAAACCCCUUAUCGAGUAUCAAUUGGAGGGCAAGUCUGGUGCCAGCAGCCGCGGUAAUUCCAGCUCCAAUAGCGUAUAUUAAAGUUGUUGCAGUUAAAAAGCUCGUAGUUGGAUUUGUGGUGUGUCCAGUCGGCCUUUGCUCUCUGAGUGAUUGCGCUGCACUGGUCUGCCAUGUUUGGGUGGAAUCUGUGCGGCAUUAAGUUGUCGUGCAGGGGAUGCCCAUCGUUUACUGUGAAAAAAUUAGAGUGUUCAAAGCAGGCUUAUGCCGUUGAAUACUUCAGCAUGGAAUAAAAAAAUAGGACUUUGGUGCUAUUUUAUUGGUUUGCACACCAAGUAAUGAUUAAUAGGGAUAGUUGGGGGUAUUCAUAUUUGAUUGUCAGAGGUGAAAUUCUUGGAUUUAUGAAAGAUGAACUUAUGCGAAAGCAUUUACCAAGGAUGUUUUCAUUAAUCGAGAACGAAAGUUAGGGGAUCGAAGAGGAUUAGAUACCCUCGUAGUCUUAACCAUAAACUAUGCCGACUCGGGAUCA
This 560-nucleotide ribosomal RNA is filed under the name uncultured diatom. Its description in RNAcentral is "bacterial SSU rRNA". It matches the Rfam family "Eukaryotic small subunit ribosomal RNA", at positions 493 to 1055 of the family's 1831-position model. The record is from RNAcentral. Lineage: Eukaryota; Bacillariophyta.